GACGAACGCUGGCGGCGUGCUUAACACAUGCAAGUCGAACGGAAAGGCCCUGCUUUUGUGGGGUGCUCGAGUGGCGAACGGGUGAGUAACACGUGAGUAACCUGCCCUUGACUUUGGGAUAACUUCAGGAAACUGGGGCUAAUACCGGAUAGGAGCUCCUGCUGCAUGGUGGGGGUUGGAAAGUUUCGGCGGUGGGGGAUGGACUCGCGGGUUAUCAGCUUGUUGGUGUGGUAGUGGCUUACCAAGGCUGUGACGGGUAGCCGGCCUGAGAGGGUGACCGGCCACAUUGGGACUGAGAUACGGCGCAGACUCCUACGGGAGGCAGCAGUGGGGAAUAUUGCACAAUGGGCGGAAGCCUGAUGCAGCAACGCCGCGUGCGGGAUGACGGCCUUCGGGUUGUAAACCGCUUUCGACUGUGACGAAGCGUGAGUGACGGUAAUGGGUAAAGAAGCACCGGCUAACUACGUG
RNAcentral lists this ribosomal RNA (468 nucleotides) under uncultured bacterium. RNAcentral's name for it is "partial 16S ribosomal RNA". It matches the Rfam family "Bacterial small subunit ribosomal RNA", at positions 28 to 507 of the family's 1533-position model. The record is from RNAcentral.